RNAcentral lists this long non-coding RNA (901 nucleotides) under Brassica napus (rape). RNAcentral describes it as "long non-coding RNA (BNAP_LNC015443)". The record is from RNAcentral. Lineage: Eukaryota; Viridiplantae; Streptophyta; Magnoliopsida; Brassicales; Brassicaceae.
AAAAUAGCAUUUAAUGUUUUAUCAAAAGAGAUAAAUAUACACUUAUACCUCAAUGGUAAAUUAAUUUAGACAUUAGGUUUUAGAGUUAAGGGAUGGAGUUUAGGGUUUAGGGUUUAGAUUUUAGGGUUUAGGGUUUAGAAUUUAGGGGUGGAGUUUAGGGUUUAGGGUUUAUAGUUAAGGGGUGGGGUUUAGGAUUUAGGGUUUAGGAUUUAGGGUUUAGGGUUUAGAGUUUAGGGUUUAGAGUUUAGGGUUUAGUGUUUAGGGUUUAGAGUUUAGGUUUUAGGGUUUAGGGUUUAGAUUUUAGGGUUUAGGGUUUAGAGUUCAGGGGUGGGGUUUAGGGUUUAGGGUUUAUAGUUAAGGGGUGGGGUUUAGGAUUUAGGGUUUAGGAUUUAGGGUUUAGGGUUUAGAGUUUAGGGUUUAGUGUUUAGGGUUUAGAGUUUAGGUUUUAGGGGAAGUGGGGUUUUGGGAUAAGAUUUCAAAUUUUGAAAAUAAAAAAAAUUUAAAUUUUUCAAAAGAUAAAAUGCUAUUUUGGUCGUUUUAGUUUUUGAGAGCUAUUUUUGUGACAUAAUUUAGAAAUGUGCUAUUCUGGAAAUUUGUCCUUUUUAUUUUGUUUUAGUAGUACUUUAUUUCUUACUUUAAAAUGAAGUACUAAAUAGUAUUGCUUGAAAUUUAAAAGUAUUAUUCAUAUUUUCUAAGAUGAAUUUUUAAUUAUAAAUCUUAAUCAGUUAAGAUUAAUUAAUUUUAGGGAUAUAAAUGUUUUUUCUUCUUUAAAUUUUUUUUUGGUCUAUCCUAUGGAAUUUGCUAAUCGAUUAUUGGUAAUGAUGUAGAGAAUCGCUUUUAUACUACCCAUAGGUUGUUUGGAUACAAUUGAGAGCCUUUGCAGUGCUUUCCUCUGGUCAGG